UUUUUUAAGAGUUUGAUCCUGGCUCAGGAUGAAUGCUAGCAGUGCGCCUGAGAUAUGCAAGUCGAGCGUUGCCCCGAUGAGGUCGUAAGACUGAAUCGGGGAAGCGGCGGACGGCUGAGUAACACGUAGGAACCUACCCCUAGGUAAGGGAUAGCUCACCGAAAGGUGGGGUAAUACCUUAUGGUCCAGGUACCGUCUGGUACCUGGUAAAGUCUUCGGACGCCAAGGGAUGGUCCUGCGGCCUAUCAGAUAGUUGGUGCGGGUAACGGCCCACCAAGUCUAUGACGGGUAGCUGGCCUCAUGAGGGUGGUCAGCCAGAGGGGGACUGAGACACGGCCCCCACUCCUACGGGAGGCAGCAAUCAGGAAUCGUCGGCAAUGGGGGAAACCCUGACCGCGCGACACUGCGUGUAGGAUGAAGCUCUAACGAGUGUAAACUACUGUGGUAGAGGAAGAAGACAGGUACCGUCUGGUACCUGUUUGACGGUACUCUACUAGAAAGGGGCCGCUAACUGCGUGCCAGAAGCGUCGGUAAUACGUGGGCCUCAAGCAUUAUCCGGUUUAAUUGGGCGUAAAGGGUCGUGUAGGCGGAUACAUAAGUUAUCUUUUAAAUUCAGAGGCUCAACCUCUGGCAUGGGGAUAAUACUGUGUGUCUAGAGUUUCCUUUAGGGUAAGCGGAACUGAGUGAGGAGUAGUGAAAUGCGUUGAUACACUCGGGAACACCAGUGGCGAAGGCGGCUUACUGGAAGGAAACUGACGCUGAGACACGAAAGCUAGGGUAGCGAAGCAGAUUAGAGACCUGCGUAGUCCUAGCCCUAAACGAAUGUUCGCUAGCUGCAUGAAUUGAUUUAUCAACUCGUGUAGCGUAGGUAACCCGUUAAGCGAACCGCCUGGGGAGUACGGCCGCAAGGCUAAAACUCAAAGGAAUUGGCGGGGAGGCACACAACCAGUGGAACAUGUGGCUUAAUUCGAUACAAAACGAAGAACCUCACCAGGGUUUGACAUCCCGCCUCAUGUUCCCUUCGAAAGAAGGGAACUGCGCAAGCUCGGCGGGACAGGUGUUGCAUGGCUGUCGUCAGUUCGUUCCGUGAGGAGUGCCCUUAAGUGGGACAACGAACGCAACCCCCAUCGUAUGUUACAAGUGUCAUACGAAACUGCCCCGCCCUAGGCGGGGAGGAAGGAGGGGCAGAUGUCAAGUCAGCAUGACCCUUAUACCCUGGGCUGCACACAUGUUACAAUGGGAAGGACAAUGGGUUUUGCAAGCCAGCGAUGGCAAGCCAACCUCAUAAACCUUCUCUCAGUUGGGAUUGAAGUCUGCAAUUCGACUUCAUGAACUUGGAAUUGGUAGUAAUCGCGGGUCAGCUAUACCGCGGUGAAUACGUUCUUGCCUCUUGCACACACCGCCCGUCAAGCCAACAAAGUCGUUGGUAUUUGAACCUCGAUUUGAUCGGGGGAGAGUACUGAUGGCGAUGAGGGUUAAGUCGUAACAAGGUAUCCCUACUGGAAGGUGGGGAUGGAUCACCUCCUUU
This 1528-nucleotide ribosomal RNA is filed under the name Candidatus Roizmanbacteria bacterium. RNAcentral's name for it is "bacterial SSU rRNA". It matches the Rfam family "Bacterial small subunit ribosomal RNA". The record is from RNAcentral. Lineage: Bacteria; Candidatus Roizmaniibacteriota.